Molecule: transfer RNA, 63 nt
Filed under: Cacopsylla citrisuga
Lineage: Eukaryota; Metazoa; Arthropoda; Insecta; Hemiptera; Psyllidae
Description: tRNA-Ser
Source: RNAcentral
AAGUUUAAAGAAAAUUUCUUUUUUUUACUUUCAAGGUAACUAUUUUAUAUAAAUUAUUAAACU